This 274-nucleotide ribosomal RNA is filed under the name uncultured bacterium. RNAcentral describes it as "partial 16S ribosomal RNA". It matches the Rfam family "Bacterial small subunit ribosomal RNA", at positions 523 to 796 of the family's 1533-position model. The record is from RNAcentral.
AUACGAAGGGAGCUAGCGUUGUUCGGAAUUACUGGGCGUAAAGCGCACGUAGGCGGACUUGUUAGUCAGGGGUGAAAUCCCGGGGCCCAACCUCGGAACUGCCUUUGAUACUGCAAGUCUUGAGUCCGGAAGAGGUGGGUGGAAUUCCUAGUGUAGAGGUGAAAUUCGUAGAUAUUAGGAAGAACACCGGUGGCGAAGGCGGCCCACUGGUCCGGUACUGACGCUGAGGUGCGAAAGCGUGGGGAGCAAACAGGAUUAGAAACCCCAGUAGUCC